Molecule: small nuclear RNA, 102 nt
Organism: Molossus molossus (Pallas's mastiff bat)
Lineage: Eukaryota; Metazoa; Chordata; Mammalia; Chiroptera; Molossidae
Source: RefSeq, a predicted model, not a curated record
GUACUUGCUUCAGCAGCACAUACACUAUAGUCGGGAGGAUACAGAGAAGAUUAGCCCCUGGGUAAGGAUGACAUGCAAAUUCGUGAAACAUUCCAUAUUUUU